GAUGAACGCUGGCGGUAUGCUUAACACAUGCAAGUCGAACGAAAUCUUUGGAUUUAGUGGCGGACGGGUGAGUAACACGUGAGAAUCUGCCAAAAGGACUGGGACAACAGCUGGAAACGGCUGCUAAUACCAGAUAUGCCAAUCAGUGAAAGGGGCAACCCGCCUUUUGAUGAGCUCGCGACCGAUUAGCUAGUUGGUGGGGUAAAAGCCUACCAAGGCGACGAUCGGUAGCCGGUUUGAGAGGACGACCGGCCACACUGGGACUGAGACACGGCCC
This 277-nucleotide ribosomal RNA is filed under the name uncultured bacterium. RNAcentral's name for it is "partial 16S ribosomal RNA". It matches the Rfam family "Bacterial small subunit ribosomal RNA", at positions 28 to 332 of the family's 1533-position model. The record is from RNAcentral.